AAUUAUGGCCCUACAUUCUUAUAAGGGUUAAUUGCAUACAGGUCCCCGCAUAUAUAAUGAAUUUUUAAAUAUAUACCUUUAAAGUUCAAAUUUUAUAAGUUAUUUUAGCAAAAAUUUUAAUGUUUUCGGGUAUGACCCUCUGAUUUGUUACGGUUAGAAAACCAUUAGAAAACUACUUAUAUUUUCAGUUUUACUAUCAUAAGUAUGUUCUUCAAAAUAUUAUAACAGUGUAAUAUAAGAGGGAUAAAAAUGUCAAAAAUUAAUCACGGUAAAAUAUUUAACCAAUGGUUAACUAAACUUUUCUAAUCGAUUCUAACGACAGAGACAUAUAUGAAAAUAUUAGAACUUUUGCAGAAAUAAUUUAUAAAUAUUAAACUUUAUAGGGAUAAAUNUUUUAUUACAAUAAAAUAUAGGAUAAAUUAUGGUAUGAUUUAUUUUAGAAUAAAAAAUAUAUAUAAAUUCAAAAUCAAGCUUGAUCACUAACUUGAGAGUUAGUAGUCAAUCCAUAAGUAACAUAUUAUAAUAAAAUAAUUUA
RNAcentral lists this long non-coding RNA (535 nucleotides) under Ananas comosus (pineapple). RNAcentral's name for it is "long non-coding RNA (ACOM_LNC012539)". Lineage: Eukaryota; Viridiplantae; Streptophyta; Magnoliopsida; Poales; Bromeliaceae. The record is from RNAcentral.